CAGUAGCCGCGGUAAUACGUAGGUGGCAAGCGUUGUCCGGAAUUAUUGGGCGUAAAGGGCUCGCAGGCGGUUUCUUAAGUCUGAUGUGAAAGCCCCCGGCUCAACCGGGGAGGGUCAUUGGAAACUGGGAAACUUGAGUGCAGAAGAAGAGAGUGGAAUUCCACGUGUAGCGGUGAAAUGCGUAGAGAUGUGGAGGAACACCAGUGGCGAAGGCGACUCUCUGGUCUGUAACUGACGCUGAGGAGCGAAAGCGUGGGGAGCGAACAGGAUUAGAUACCCCCGUAGUCCCUGUCUCUUAUAC
Molecule: ribosomal RNA, 301 nt
Filed under: uncultured bacterium
Lineage: Bacteria
Description: partial 16S ribosomal RNA
Rfam family: Bacterial small subunit ribosomal RNA
Source: RNAcentral